This 493-nucleotide ribosomal RNA is filed under the name uncultured bacterium. Its description in RNAcentral is "partial 16S ribosomal RNA". It matches the Rfam family "Bacterial small subunit ribosomal RNA", at positions 30 to 523 of the family's 1533-position model. The record is from RNAcentral.
AUUGAACGCUGGCGGCAUGCUUUACACAUGCAAGUCGAACGGUAACAGGUUAAGCUGACGAGUGGCGAACGGGUGAGUAAUGCAUCGGAACGUGCCCGAUCGUGGGGGAUAACGCAGCGAAAGCUGCGCUAAUACCGCAUCCGAUAUGAGGAUGAAAGCGGGGGACCGUAAGGCCUCGCCCGAUCGCAGCGGCCGAUGUCAGAUUAGGUAGUGGGUGGGGUAAAGGCUCACCAAGCCAACGAUCUGUAGCUGGUCUGAGAGGACGACCAGCCACACUGGGACUGAGACACGGCCCAGACUCCUACGGGAGGCAGCAGUGGGGAAUUUUGGACAAUGGGCGAAAGCCUGAUCCAGCAAUGCCGCGUGCAGGAAGAAGGCCUUCGGGUUGUAAACUGCUUUUGUACGGAGCGAAAAGGUUCUCUCUAAUACAGAGGGCUCAUGACGGUACCGUAAGAAUAAGCACCGGCUAACUACGUGCCAGCAGCCGCAGUAA